GCUUCUGUGGUGACCGAGGACGGGCUGGCGCUGGGAGCCGGAGUUAGCCGCUCAAAGCCCGAUUCGGGUUCGUGGGUAACCCUUGGGGUGACGGUAGAUGUGUGGCCUUGUCCUGUAAGCGCUGCGGGUUGCAGGCCGGGACGCGCACUUUGGCGGUGGUUAUCCUGUUUUGGGGAAGCCUGGUGAAAGGCGGCUGGUUACGGCUCAAUGGGCCGCGAGGGAAGGUAACCGCCGCCCGAGAAUCCAAGGCAGGUGGGUUAUCCGGGAAUGCUCCAGGCUGGGGAAGUGUCGGCAAUGGCCGUGCACCGCCGGACCAAAGUCCUUUUCGAGGAGUGGUCCCAGCUCCGGAUUUGCGUUUCUGCGCUACAGUUCAUGGGCCCUGUAGCUCAGGAGCAGCCUCCUCUUCUGAGUAAUAGAAAUAAUGCUUAUAUCCUUGGGCUGUGGAGGAGCGUCAGUGAAGUCAUGAAUGCGCGUGUGGCUUGUAUAGCAAUGCAGGUAUUAUUAUGAAUGUUUGGGGAUUCGUUAACUUUGCUGGCACAUAGAGGGCUAUACUGAAAGAGGAAGAUCUCGGAGGAACGCAGUACUCGGCGCUGAUUGGAUAGCGCGUGGCGCCGGGUCAAGGGUUGGAGGCACCAGCUGCAAAAUCUUGCAGUUUCCUACCUUGGCCAAUGAGAGAGGCUUGGCCAAUGAGAAGCCAAGUGGCAGUAACUUUUCAGUUGGAAUUAUGCUGUGGGCGAAGAAGCACUGACCCAAACACUUCCUACCAGCUCUUACUCACCUCCAUGUGUACCUAAAUGAAGAAAGCUAGACGCGCUUUACCUUUUUCCCUUCGUUGAUAUCCAGCGAGAAUACAGGACACUAACAAAAAGACAGCUUUGCAUAGUCUUGUCCCUAAGUGGGAAUUGUGAACAGUGCUGGCUACCUGGAGCGUUGAAGGCUUUUUAGAAUCAACAGAAUCAUUCAGGUUUGAUUGUGCAACGUAAAUUUCCAAAUUGCCAAAAUAAACAGGUUUUAACUGAUUUAAUAGGUAGCUGAUGUAUUAGGAUUAUUAUUAUACUAUAGAUGAUUAUUAACUGUGUGGAGCACAACUAAGACCCAAGAGGUAAAUAAAAUUAUUUUCUACAAAAUCCAAACAGAAGAAGAGCUUGAGUUUAUUGACUCAUCCAUCAAAGUCUAGUGACUUAGAAUUGUGUUUAUUCACACAUUUGCUGGGCACUUUAUACACAGUGGACAGUAUUUGUUGAAUGAGUAAUAAAUAUAUGGACAUAUGAUUGAAUGAACAAAAAUUGCUGUUUUGAGGAGCUCAGGUCGACAUAAAUGAAACAACUGCAGUGUACAAUUUUGAUCAUGAGUAAUUUGCAUCAUAGCUGCUGUAAGAGAUCAAAGGAGAGAGGGACCAUAUGAGGUGGUCAAGGAGCCUUUGUGGAAAAGAGAGAAUAUGAGCCGGGCCCUGAAGGAUUCCAAUAGACAGGUCAGAGUGUGAAGGGGUGAAUAGGAAAGACAUUCCAAAGGGUGAAGAAGGUGUGAGCAGAGGUGUGGAAAGAAGAAAGCACAGUGAAAGGUAGUUGUUGACUUUGACUUAAACUUUGGAUUCUGAAUAGAAAUAGAGUUGAAAAACUGGGUUGGAACCAGAUUGUAUUCGUGUUUCAGGCCAAAGAAUGUUACUGGUUUAAAAAUGGCAUUUGCGGUUCCUCCCAAGUUAUAGCCAGCAGUAUAUUUUGUGGGAAGGAGAGAAGUGAGCUGUUGUAACUAAUGAGUGAACAAACGCCAGAUAAACAGGAAAAAAAAGCAGCAAACAUCAGGGGAUAAUGGGGAGUUACUGUUUAAUGUGUACAGAUUUCAGAUUGGGACGAUGAAGAAGUUCAGGAGAUGGAUAUGGGUGGCGUUUGCACAGCACUGUAAGUGUACUUAAUGACACUGAAUUGUACACUUAAAAAUGGUUAAAAUGCUAAAUUUUAUUUAUAUUUUACCACAAGUUAGGAAAAAAUCUAUGUAAAAACAGUAGUCUGAUGCUAGAUAACUUAAAAAGGGCAAAAACGUCACAGCCAUCAGUAUGAUCUUGAGAUCUCAAGGUGAAGUGAUAUUCAAUAAGGCAAGGAAGUAGGUGAUGCAUUUAAAAAAGUUGUGCAUCAAAACUCACUACCAUAGAAAUGUGUUAGCAUUUAGAUCAUGUUAAUAAAUGCCUUAUAAUUCCCAAAGCACUUAACGUGUAGUGCUUUUGAUCUUUUUUUUUUUUUUUUUGCUUUUGAUCUUUUAAAUGAUAUUUUGAGAUGAGUAACAGCGAUUAUGCUCACUUUACACGAGGAAGCAAACUCAAAGAGAUAGGGUUCUUGAUAGAGGUAACUGGCAACAUGAGACUACCCAUGGGUUUUGAUUUCAGUUUUUUAGCUCUACACUGUCAUACUGUCGUAAGUAAUAGUCAAGUUUUAUUGAGUACCUCCUAUGAGCCAGACACUUUUCUUGUAUUAUUCCUACUCCUUACAACAACAUUGUACAUAGUUAUACACAUCAGUGAGGAAACAGGCUCAUCUGUCAUAGGUCACAUGGCUAGAGGAAGCUAGGUUUGAACCCCUAGCUGUAAUCCCAAAGCCUAUAUUCUUCUCGAGUCUUAACUUAUGAAUCCUUAUGAAGCCACGGGCCUAGUUAAUGGCUCAUAAAUUAUUUCCUUAUAAUUAGAUAAGGGUGAGGAUCAUAUUGUCAUUCCUAGCAUAAGUGUUUAAAGAAGUAUGUAAUAAUAACAUUCCAAGGGCAGACAUCCAAUAACAUGUAAAUUCCUCACUUACAUUUAUUGAGCACCUCUUCUUCCUUCUAUGCUAGUGAGGUAAGAUGGACCAGGGAAUGCCUCUCUGUUAGGAAACACCUCCAUGGGAAAUUCUAGGAUGGAUGGUUUGGAUGGAUUCUAAGCAUUCACAUCUUUAUUCCUCUUCGUUUCCUUGGUAUGUCUCAUUUGGAUUCAAGUUAUCAUUGGUGUGGUGAGAUCUAGGAGAAAAGGACCAGGGAGGCAGCUUAGUCUGCUUUCGUUCUGGUCUUUAUCCUCUAGCCCAGGCCAACAAAACUUUGUUGCAUGCUCACAAGUCAGCUGUGUUAGCAUGUUGGAUUGCGGCCUUUGCCCGUUUGGGUUCUGGGCCCUAGCCCUCUUUCCCUUCCUCUCCCUAGGUAAUUUAAGUGGAUUGAAAGAAUUAUAUUGACAGGGAACUGAUGUUUGAGAGGCAAAGUUGAGCAAAAAGAAUGAGACUCCUGCAUUGGGAGAGGAAUGUCGCUGAGAAGAAGAAUGGAAGACGUUUGGCACUUCGUGUAUAUUUUGGGAGUUACAUUUUUGUGGAAAAAGAGAAAUUGUGUGAAAACUGUGGGUGCUGUCUUUUUUAUAGGGUGGUGGCAAUUUUCAAGCAUUUUAUAUUGUAAAUAUUGUGCUAUUCAUUCAAUAUGUAUUUAUUGAGUGCCUACUAUUUGCUAGGCACAAGAACAAUAUUAUUGGACUAUAUAUGCAGUAUUGUUAUUUUUAUUGUAAUACUGUAUAUAUCAUUAUCUAGUAUAUGUUGUGAAAUCCUGUUUGGUGAGCUUGAUUAGACCACAUAGAUGAACAUAAUUUAAGGUUAGAAAUUGAAUAGUGGGUGAUUCUUACCCUGGUGAGCCCAGCUUCCCUGAAAGUUUAGGCAGAGAUUUUGACUGAAAUUGACCCAUCACUUGGCUUGUAUCCCUUUCCUAUCCUGUUUCUCUCCCUUACUGGUUUCUCCUGAGAGCACCUUAAUCAUAUAUUCACAAAUUCUCCCCUCGGGGUUUGCUUCUGCAAGUCCUGAGUGUGUUAGUUUGGGUCUACCAAGAAGCAGAUGCCAACAUUUUAUUAGAUGUGCAAGAGAUUUAUUAGGGAGGGAGCAAGAGCCAGGAGCAGGCAGUGAGAGCUUGCAGACCACAGUGCAGGGCUGACACCUGUGCAAAGAGAGAGGGAGGGAAGAAGUGAAGUGCAGCUCCAGGAAAGGCUUGACUUUGCCAGUGGGGAGAUGUCAGGCCAAACUUCUUGUAGGAAGGGUCUGGCAGUUUGCCCGAAUGGACCUGCCCUGGUUACCUCUGCCAUGCUCAGUCAUUGACCUAGAGCCACCCUCAGAAAGCCUGGCCUCGGUGCAAGUGUGGUGGACCCAGCAGGCAACAGUGGGGCUGUCAGUCAAUUAUGUUUCCCACAGCAAAUGGUCUGAGGGGAGCAUUUUCAUGGCCACCACACUCUCCUAAGUUUUUGAUAUAAUAUUUUCUUCAUUUGUUUAUUCUCAACUAAUAUAUAUAUUAGUUGUGUGUGUGUGUGUAUGGGUGAACCUGGCACUUUGAACAAAACAGAAGAGUUAACUGUCCUCAUGGAGUUUUUAUUCUAUGGGAGAAAAGAUUUUUUUUAAAGUAAAGAAAAACAUAAAAGAAUUUCACUGUGAAAAAUGCUAUGAAGGAAACAGUGGCGUAUAUUGAGUGCCCUUGUGUGCUUGAAUUCUUAGUGCUUUACACGUAUGAACUAUUUAGCCUUCCCAGCAACCUUGUGAGGUAGGUACUCUUUAUUAUUCCCCGUUUACAGAAGAACCUGAGGUGAAGAGUGCUUAAGUAACGUAGCCCCAAGGUCCCUCAAAACCAAAGGAAUGAGAGACUGAGGCAGGGGACUCCGGCAGUAUUUAACUUUUGAGUUGCCAGAAAAGACCUCUCUGAAGAAAUGAUAUUUAAGCUAAAGCUUAAAGAAUGGAAAGGAAUGAGCUGUAUAUUUGUGAGGGUGGGAUUUGGCAGAGGAAGGCAAGAAAGAUAUUCAUAUGAAUGGUGAUUUUUCCUUCUGUAUGUUUACAAAUGUUUAUAAAUGAAGGUCAAGAUUGUUCAGUCCUAAUCACUGUUGCAGGGGUGCCCAGCACGUUUCCCACUCCUCGCUUGCCAUUCCCACCACCUUUGCCCCAUUCUUGUAACAGAUGAACAGUUGUGGGCAUAGGACCAGGCCUGGCCAGCCGUAAGUCUUUGAAAUUUUUCUUCUGCAGCUGGACAAUAUGGCUGUCGUACUAGUGAGAGUUUCUCUUUCAUAAAACAAUAGAAACCUGCUCUGGUUAGUAUUUUGAGAAGUACGUUAUUGGGAGGGUAUCGGGAAGCUCAUAUAAGUAAAAGGCUGGAGAUAAAGCUUGGGCAGGCCUCAGUGGAAGCAAGACAUAGCUUCAGUCUUAAGAUGCCCCACCAACACCAUUUCUAUGGCUUGGCUCUGCUUCUGGAUUCGGCAGCCCCUGGGCACUUGUCACCGCGUCACUGAACAUUGACCACCACACCAUGCCGCUGCAGCUGUCCUGCAUCAUCUCCAGCUCUCAGACCUUUGCACGUCUUCCUCGAGAUUCAAGUUCGUGGCUGACAGUAUCUGAUUGGCUACACUCAGGUCUCGUGUUUGUGCUCUAGCUUCCAGGGAACAGGAAGAGUUAUACCUGUCCCUCCUCACCUUCAGCUUCUGUAGUGAGCUGCAGAGCCCUAUUUUGGGAUUUCCCUUCAACUGGAAAGAGUUAUUUGGAUGCUGAACAGCAAGUAGGAUAAUAUCCAUUAGUGAUGCUGGCUGCCUAGCCCGAUUCACCACAGGAACCGUGGUGAAUAUUGAGCUAAUGCUGCCAUCUUCCUUAUCACUUGGAGAAAGCCCAUCUUCAGAAAGAGAAAAUGAGGCCAACACACAGACACAGAGCUAACAGAUGGACUGUAGGAAAUGAAAAGAGAAGGGGAGGAUCUAAUGUACAGCUCAGUGACUAUAGUUAAUACUGUAUUUUACACUUGACAUUUGCUAAGAGAAUAGAUCUUAGGUGUUCUCAUCAAUCACAAGAAAGGUAACUAGGUGAGGUGAUAGGUAUGUUAAUUAGCUUGAUUGUGGUAAUCAUUUAUCAAAACCAUGUUGCACACCUUAAAAUACACAACUUUUAUUUGUCAAUUAUACCUCAAUAACACUGGAAAAAAUUAAAACUUACCCUACUAGAUAUAUGCUUAUUAGAAUCAUAACAAGAUGCCAUACUAAUGGUUAAGGGAAAGAAAAAUUGACUAAUGAAAGAAAAUAAGGAGUCCGCAAACAGACCCACACAUAUGAAGAAAUUUUAUCUAUGUUUCAUUGUAUCACAUUUGAAGACAUUGUGACUAAAAGUCAAGAAGAAAAUGGGAGAUUAUAUGAUAAAUCAUUCUAGGACAAUUGGUUAUCCACACAUGGGGAAAAAAAAAGAUCCCUCAUAUCACACAAAAAAAUUUCAGAUGGAUUAAUGACACAGUCUGAAAUACAAAAUUAAAUUAUUUAGAACAUAUCCAAUUACCAUGGAGUAGGGAGGGAUAUCUC
Long non-coding RNA from Phocoena sinus (vaquita), 6304 nucleotides. Lineage: Eukaryota; Metazoa; Chordata; Mammalia; Artiodactyla; Phocoenidae. The record is from Ensembl.